CAAGUAACUCCGCCUGUAGCUCUUAUAAGGAUACUGCCGGUCCCAAGCCCGGGUAAAGGAGGAGGGUUGG
RNAcentral lists this non-coding RNA (70 nucleotides) under Schistosoma margrebowiei. Lineage: Eukaryota; Metazoa; Platyhelminthes; Trematoda; Strigeidida; Schistosomatidae. The record is from RNAcentral.